Molecule: long non-coding RNA, 214 nt
Organism: Musa acuminata AAA Group (dessert banana)
Lineage: Eukaryota; Viridiplantae; Streptophyta; Magnoliopsida; Zingiberales; Musaceae
Exons: 2
Source: RefSeq, a predicted model, not a curated record
AACCAAGUAAAAUUGCUCCUCGGAGCUUCUCUGUAAGGAAGUGGUGACACGAUGGUGGCGCUGCUCUGUGAUUGAUUCGUUCGUCUGUACAAAUGAUUUCUUCUACUAGUUGUUGAGAGUUCUGUGAACUCUAGCUUUGUUUUCGACUGUUGUGUUACUGUAUUGGUUGAUUUGUCGUCAUCGUCAAUAAAUGAAGCACUAAGUUUCUUGCGUC